Molecule: non-coding RNA, 1803 nt
Organism: Cinara cedri
Lineage: Eukaryota; Metazoa; Arthropoda; Insecta; Hemiptera; Aphididae
Source: the annotation of a GenBank genome assembly
GGGUAAUAAGCUAUCAUCUGGUAUCUAGAAUCUAGGUCUAUGUUCUAUAGCAGCAAUAGGUAUUUGUUUGAAAAAUCAGGCGGGUAGAAGCCUGGAUGUUCAUGAAUUUAAGGAAAAUUAAUUUUUUUACAAAAACAAAAGUCUUUAAAAGAAUUUUAGACUGAAAAUUGAUAAAUUGCAUUAAAAACUACCAAGAAAACUGUAAAAUAUUGUAAAAAAUGCAAAAAAUAAUAGAUAACAGACAAGGUGUGGUAUGUUGGUGAUUUUUGGUUAGGGGGUUUGUGGGUGAGAAAUUAAAUAGGUGAUUUGAGUUUAAAAUACUUCUUACUGCCACUGUAUAAUAAUGUAAAAUUUACAUAAUUACAAUGUAUUUGGUCCAUAAUGUAAGAAAUAUCAAUUUUAACUGUAGGUCCUAUCUACAGUCGAAUCUAGCACACACAGUAGUUUAAAAAGCUGUCCUAAGAUAAUGGAGACAGGUGCAACUACUGUUGUAGGUGGGAAGUUGGAAAGGUAGGAUAUAGACAGGGAUUUAAUGUAUAUCUGUAAGCAACGAUAAACCAUUGCAAACGAAAAAAACAAUUCUGAGCGGAGUUCAGAUAAUAGUGAUGAUUUGUCAACAAUAUACUAUAUAUGCCAUAUUAUGGUAAAAUAAUUAUAUAAUAUGUAAUGCAUAUUAUCCAUUUAUUGGAAAAAAUCUUGGCAAUAUCAAAAAGUGACCUUGAAGUACCUCCCCAGUUUGAUUUACUUUUAGAAAAAGUACUAUCAUUGUAAAUUAAAGCAAAAUUGCUGGUAGAAAAAUUGUACAUUAAAAAAAAAAAGGCCACAAAUUUUUACUUAAUUUUUACCUACAUUUCGUACAUUUUCGGUUUUUCCGACAUUUUAUCCCGGUUUUUCGCGGAUAUUAUGAAAACCGCUUUAAAAAUCAAAAAAUGACUUCCCUAUAGUACCAUACAGAUAAAAUUUCCUUUCACAAAAUAAGGUACACAUACACUUAAUACACCAGAGCAUGAUUUCUGGUAGAAAAGUUUACACAGCAAAUUAAGGACUAUUUUACGAUUAAAAUAGUCCGAGCGAGUGAUGGUUUGAGUCUCUAGGUACACCUAAAAGGCAUUUGUUUUUUCCGUGUUUAGGUAAAGGGGAGAAAACAAAUUCAAAUAAUAUUUUUCGAAACUCGGAUUUGAACUCAUGAUUCCUAGGAUGGCAAUAGGUAAGAAAAACCAUUAGGUUACGACAAACAUUCUUCAAAAAGACAAUCCAGUGUUAUUUAACUUAACAUAAUAUAAUAUUCGCAUAAUAACAAAACUUCAAAAAGCUAUAAUUUCGAAACUAAGUCCGCUAAGUUCUGACCCCACCAUCGUUCUUAAAUCAGCAAUAUGUUUAAAACAAAAAAUUUAAAAAUUAGAUUUAUUUCACAUAAUUUUUCACUCAAAUGAUUUUCGUAAAAAUUUGAUAUUAUAAUUCCUUUAUAAAAAAAAAAAAAAUACCACACUAAGCUCAAUUUUUCUUUUUUGGCCAUAAAGUACGACUUUUAACGAAUAUCCCGUUGAAUUGUCAAACAUUUCUGUACAAUCUAACAUUUUCAUCUCAGAUUAUCUACCGAAUGAAAAUUACCUUCAAAACUCAAAAAAUCAAAAUAUCUAUAAAUAGCUCAUGAAUGGCUAAAUUUUACCUCGUCUAGAAAUGGCAAAUAUAAGCUUUGAGUUAAAAUUUUAAGUCUCUAAAAAUAUUUUAAAAUAAAUUUCAAGAAAAUAACAAAAUUGAAAAUAAUAAAAACAUUAUUUUUGUAAAUAUAUUCUCGUUUUU